RNAcentral lists this ribosomal RNA (424 nucleotides) under uncultured bacterium. RNAcentral's name for it is "bacterial SSU rRNA". It matches the Rfam family "Bacterial small subunit ribosomal RNA", at positions 355 to 775 of the family's 1533-position model. The record is from RNAcentral.
UAAGGAAUAUUGGGCAAUGGAGGCAACUCUGACCCAGCCAUGCCGCGUGGAGGAUGAAGGCCCUCUGGGUUGUAAACUUCUUUUACGGGGGACGAAACCACUUUUUUCUAAGAGUGUUGACGGUACCCUGGGAAUCAGCACCGGCUAACUCCGUGCCAGCAGCCGCGGUAAUACGGAGGGUGCAAGCGUUAUCCGGAUUCACUGGGUUUAAAGGGUGCGUAGGCGGGCAGGGAAGUCCGUGAUGAAAUCUCCGGGCUUAACUCGGAAACUGCCGUGGAUACUCUCUGUCUUGAAUACUGUGAAGGUGAGCGGAAUAUGUCAUGUAGCGGUGAAAUGCUUAGAGAUGACAUAGAACACCAAUUGCGAAGGCAGCUCACUGCGCAGCUUAUUGACGCUGAGGCACGAAAGCGUGGGGAUCAAACAG